RNAcentral lists this ribosomal RNA (430 nucleotides) under Acidobacteriota bacterium. Its description in RNAcentral is "Acidobacteria bacterium partial 16S ribosomal RNA". It matches the Rfam family "Bacterial small subunit ribosomal RNA", at positions 355 to 776 of the family's 1533-position model. The record is from RNAcentral. Lineage: Bacteria; Pseudomonadati; Acidobacteriota.
UGGGGAAUAUUGGACAAUGGGCGAAAGCCUGAUCCAGCCAUGCCGCGUGUGUGAAGAAGGCCUUUUGGUUGUAAAGCACUUUAAGCGAGGAGGAGGCUACUUAGAUUAAUACUCUAGGAUAGUGGACGUUACUCGCAGAAUAAGCACCGGCUAACUCUGUGCCAGCAGCCGCGGUAAUACAGAGGGUGCGAGCGUUAAUCGGAUUUACUGGGCGUAAAGCGUGCGUAGGCGGCUUUUUAAGUCGGAUGUGAAAUCCCUGAGCUUAACUUAGGAAUUGCAUUCGAUACUGGGAAGCUAGAGUAUGGGAGAGGAUGGUAGAAUUCCAGGUGUAGCGGUGAAGUGCGUAGAGAUCUGGAGGAAUACCGAUGGCGAAGGCAGCCAUCUGGCCUAAUACUGACGCUGAGGUACGAAAGCAUGGGGAGCAAACAGG